AGUUCGGAUCGGAGCCUGCAACCCGGCUCCGUGAAGCUGGAUUCGCUAGUAAUCGCGCAUCAGCCAUGGCGCGGUGAAUACGUUCCCGGGCCUUGUACACACCGCCCGUCAAGCCAUGGGAGCCGGGGGCGCCUGAAGUGCGGUACCGCGAGGGCCGCCCAGGGGCGAGACCGGUGACUGGGGCUAAGUCGUAACAAGGUAUC
Molecule: ribosomal RNA, 203 nt
Filed under: uncultured bacterium
Lineage: Bacteria
Description: partial 16S ribosomal RNA
Rfam family: Bacterial small subunit ribosomal RNA
Source: RNAcentral